AAUUGUGUCUUGUUUUUCCUCUUUACUCCAGUUCUCCUUGUGCAAUGCUGCGUGCCACGCCGCUGGCAGAAGCAGACAGAGAAGGAGAGAGAGGGAGCUCCAGUCACACACCAAACACACACUCACACUCAGACACACGCGCGCGCACACACUCACCCUAGCCUGCCAGGCGACUGCCAUCCAGGAGAUCGCAGUCGCCAGUGGAAAGGGGGGGGUGGAGGUGGGGGGGGUCGGGCGUGGGUAAGGGAGGGGGGCUACGCCAGUCACAAUCGUGCCCAUGCUCGGCUCUCAUCCUCGCCACCACCACCUUGCACAGUGAAUCAGAAGAUGGAGAUGGAUGUUAAGGGAGUUUCUCAGUGCCCGGAGCCCAUCCCCCACUCUCAGGGGGCUGGCGGAGGCUGUCAGCAGCCACCGCCGCCGCCACCGCCGCCGCCGCCGCCACCGCCGCCGCCGCAGGAUGAGCAGCCUGGGGAAAGUGCGGCCGCCGGGGACAGCCACCCAGAGAAGAGACCAAACAGUGAGAAAGAAGACAAAAAGUACUUCAGUGACAGAACCCAACACGUGUGUGUUUGGCGAGGCUGGUGGAGGUUAACAAGGAGCUGA
RNAcentral lists this long non-coding RNA (603 nucleotides) under Monodelphis domestica (gray short-tailed opossum). RNAcentral's name for it is "lncRNA (ENSMODG00000045004.1)". Lineage: Eukaryota; Metazoa; Chordata; Mammalia; Didelphimorphia; Didelphidae. The record is from RNAcentral.